Molecule: ribosomal RNA, 866 nt
Filed under: uncultured bacterium
Lineage: Bacteria
Description: bacterial SSU rRNA
Rfam family: Bacterial small subunit ribosomal RNA
Source: RNAcentral
GGCUUAGAGUUUGAUCAUGGCUCAGGACGAACGCUGGCGGCGUGCUUAACACAUGCAAGUCGAACGGGGUGUUUAUUUCGGUAAACACCAAGUGGCGAACGGGUGAGUAACGCGUAAGCAAUCUACCUUCAAGAUGGGGACAACACUUCGAAAGGGGUGCUAAUACCGAAUGAAUGUAAGAGUAUCGCAUGAGACACUUACUAAAGGAGGCCUCUGAAUAUGCUUCCGCUUGAAGAUGAGCUUGCGUCUGAUUAGCUAGUUGGUGAGGGUAAAGGCCCACCAAGGCGACGAUCAGUAGCCGGUCUGAGAGGAUGAACGGCCACAUUGGGACUGAGACACGGCCCAGACUCCUACGGGAGGCAGCAGUGGGGAAUCUUCCGCAAUGGGCGAAAGCCUGACGGAGCAACGCCGCGUGAACGAUGAAGGUCUUAGGAUCGUAAAGUUCUGUUGUUAGGGACGAAGGGUAAGAAUCAUAAUAAGGUUUUUAUUUGACGGUACCUAACGAGGAAGCCACGGCUAACUACGUGCCAGCAGCCGCGGUAAUACGUAGGCGGCAAGCGUUGUCCGGAAUUAUUGGGCGUAAAGGGAGCGCAGGCGGGAAACUAAGCGGAUCUUAAAAGUGCGGGGCUCAACCCCGUGAUGGGGUCCGAACUGGUUUUCUUGAGUGCAGGAGAGGAAAGCGGAAUUUCUCAGUGUAGCGGUGAAAUGCGUAGAUAUUGGGAAGAACACCAGUGGCGAAGCGGCUUUCUGGACUGUAACUGACGCUGAGCUCGAAAGCUAGGGUAGCGAACGGGAUUAGAUACCCCGGUAGUCCUAGCCGUAAACGAUGGAUACUAGUGUGGGAGUAUCGACCCUUNGUGNNGAGU